Molecule: ribosomal RNA, 465 nt
Filed under: uncultured bacterium
Lineage: Bacteria
Description: bacterial SSU rRNA
Rfam family: Bacterial small subunit ribosomal RNA
Source: RNAcentral
CCUANGGGGGGCUGCAGUCGAGAAUUUUUCACAAUGGGGGAAACCCUGAUGGAGCGACGCCGCGUGGGGGAUGAAGGGCUUCGGCUCGUAAACCCCUGUCAUUUGUGACCAAGGUCGCCGGUUGAAUAGACUGGCGGCUUGAUGGUAGCGAAAGAGGAAGGGACGGCUAACUCUGUGCCAGCAGCCGCGGUAAUACAGAGGUCCCAAGCGUUGUUCGGAUUCACUGGGCGUAAAGGGUGCGUAGGUGGUCAAGUAAGUCUGAUGUGAAAUCUUCGAGCUUAACUCGGAAACUGCAUCGGAAACUACUUGGCUAGAGGAUUGGAGGGGAGACUGGAAUUCUCGGUGUAGCAGUGAAAUGCGUAGAUAUCGAGAGGAACACCAGUGGCGAAGGCGAGUCUCUGGACAAUUCCUGACACUGAGGCACGAAAGCUAGGGGAGCAAACAGGAUUAGAUACCCUUNUANUC